AGACACACCAGGCCGCCAUGUUGUGUAAGGUUAGUCUCUCAGCCUCCGCGAGAAGAAGGCGAAAAAUGGGGAGGAGCAGCCUGGUUACUUUCAAACGAGAAAGAACGGAUAUGUUAAGCGUGGAGGGCUCCUAAUGGUAGCGGUUUGAUUUUCAGUGAGUUUGGCGCGGUGGAGACGUCACCGCGGUCUAACAGUUCCGACGUGGUGGCGUCAUCACUGGCCGCCGUAGGAGGUGGAGCUACGUUGGCCUCGUGACCGGGCCCUGUAGCGGAAGCCCAGGUCAAGGCCCUAACAAAAGGGCCCGCCUAUGGCCACAGUUUCAGGCCCUCCUUUCAGUCAUGGACUGUUGAAGCACGAUUUCCUGGUGCUUUCGCCCCUUUCACCGACCAUUUCAAGAGUCCGUAGUUCUCGCCUGGGUUUGGAUUCGGUAUAAGUGAGCCUGUUUACCAUCAAAGAAAAUGGUGAAAUGUCUUCUGGAGACGAUGUUCUCUUCUGGUUCUAACCCUGUCACUCAGUGAGACCCCCAGAGAAGCCUAGUUUUCAGAUUAUUCUAGUCCUUGGCAGGCUCAAGAUGUCAACAACACGGUUGGAAACAACCCCUGAGAGGUCACAUAGCGCGCACUCAGCUUUACAGAUCGUCCAAGGCAGCGACCCCUGAGAGGUCACAUAGCGCGCACUCAGCUUUAUAGAUCGUCCAAGGCAGCAAUUAGAAUCAGCAACUCGGAGAGGAAAAAAAGCUGUUAGCGGAAUGGAGGCUGACCAUUAUCUGUAGUAAAGAAUCGGAAGUACAGUACAAAAAUAAAUUACCGAAACGCAACAUGCGUGAAUUUCACACAAAAAAAUGAAGUUGAGGGAAAGAAGCCAGACAUGGAAGAGUUCAUAUUGCGUGGUUCCAUUUAAAAACUAGCCCAUGGUGUUAAUGAGCAUAGUGGGGAGGACAAUGACAUGAAAGAGCCACCAGGGGGCUUUUGAGGUUCAGGUAAUGUUUCUUGAUUUGGACACUGAUUAUAGAUAGGUGGGUUCACUUUAGAAAUCUCAUUGAGUUGUAAACGUAUAUUUAUGUACGUAGUUUUUUCUGUAGAUUAUGCUUAAGGCCCGGCGAAGGGGAAUUUGCCCAGGUAAUGGAAAUAUUACACCGAUACAUAGAAUUGUCAAAGUUCAUGGGAUGAACUCCUAAGAGCUGUGUAUUUUAUCGUAUAAAUUUUUUUAAGUGUCCAACCAAUAGCCUGGAAUUAUUAAGUACAUAAUUAAAUAAAAACAAAUAUCCCAUG
This 1271-nucleotide long non-coding RNA is filed under the name Homo sapiens (human). RNAcentral's name for it is "HSALNT0296675". The record is from RNAcentral. Lineage: Eukaryota; Metazoa; Chordata; Mammalia; Primates; Hominidae.